CCGCCGAUUCGUCCUUUGUGGGUUCCACGGCCGCCACGCAGGCUCGGCACAGCUCCGCGUCGUCAGCGCCCGCUCCACUUCAUCCUUCGCGCGCCUCUCUUCGCCGCCCCUAGGUCCCGCCGAUCUGAUACGACGAAAGAGGGAGGAAGGCGUGACGUGGUUGCUGCUGCUUUAGCACUCCACGGAAAGAGCACUAGAGAAGAAGAAACAUAGAAGAGAAGAUGAAUAGAAGAGAAAUACCCGAGAUCAUCACAAUUUGUCAAGUUGAAACCAAACUGAUGAGCUACAUCAGUAAAAUCUACAUCUUCUGUAUACUGUCUAAUUUCAUAUCAUAUCACUACAUAACAUUUAGAAUCAUGAGAAGUAGUUUCUAUUUUGAUUGCUAGAAACUUAGAAUUGCUUUUUCGUUUAUUUACAUGAAGGAGAAAUCUGUAUGUAUAGGUUGGUUCAGUAGCUGCCCAAGAGUAUGAAAAAUGUGCUCCAACUGUGCUUUCGUUGAAAAACAUCUGCUAAACCUGAAAUAAUUGUGAUUUUAGGCUAACACUAUGGUUCCUGAAUUGGUUAUUGUAUUGAUGACAUCUGAAUUAGUAUUACUUGCACGAGAUUAUAAGAUAGUACUUCUGGAAAUUAUGAUUCUUUUUCACAUGGUAUAAGUAGUACUUCUGGAACCAACUUGUGUUAUGUGCCUCAUAGUUUUCAUUAGAAGUAUCUGUAAAUAGAUAUGUUUCUCCUAUAUAUGCUCUUAUGUAAAGAUAUAUGUUUCUAGCUAACUCAGCGCUUUACUUAUAUUUCAGUAUCAGGUUUAAUAAUAUUAAUUAUUUUUUUCUCCUAUAUAGAACAAGAAGAUUUACAAGUAGUGCAUGUUCACACAUUUUGCAGAAGCCAGAUCCACAGCACGUCUCCUCUAGGUAAGGUAACAUAUCCCCUUGGGCAUGACGGUUUUAUUCCCUGCUUGAUCCGACCUAUGCAAAAGACCACAUGGUUUUAUUCCCUGCUUCAUCUGUUAAGUGAUUGGCACUGCAUGUCCACCAUUGGCAAUGGCAUAAGGGGAAGGCAGGAGCAGAAGUGUAGGUUGGUUGUGCUACGUGCAACAACAAGGUUUCCUUUUUGAAUCAGUUGAUGGUUGAUGAUACUGCUAGAUAUGGUGGUUGAUGAUCAUGCUAUCAAGAUGAAGCUUUGAAUUUGAGAUCAGAUUUAGAGUUUGGGGAAAAUGAGACGAUUGGCAAUAACGAGGUCAUCAAGAUCAAGCCGCCCACUGUCGAGGUUGUGGCCGCUGCCGCAUUGUUCUAGGUUCGGUCUCUUCCUCCUGGAAUCCCCCGAUGGAACGCCCAGAUCCGGCAUCUUGCUGCCACAAUUAUGUCCGCAGGGAAAGAUCAUGGAGGAAGAUUACUUAGAAGCGCCAGCGCCACAACUUCCUAUGGACAUCAUGUACAAGAUCCUAUUGCACGUAUCUGAUCCAGCCCCCCUUGCCUGCCUUGCUUCAUCUUGCAAGUUCUGGCAUGAUCUUAUGAAGGACCCGGUCUUGAUAAAUGAUCCCACCAAAUCAAUUCCAGUAUGACUUAGCCAAAGUGGACCAUCAAUUCUUUCUCUACCAGAUGCUUCAUGCUCUGAGUUAUAUUUAUAAUGGCCUACUACAGAUCAGCACAAUGCCACUGUGUUUCG
Long non-coding RNA from Lolium rigidum, 1662 nucleotides. RefSeq lists it as uncharacterized. NCBI's taxonomy places the organism in Eukaryota, Viridiplantae, Streptophyta, Magnoliopsida, Poales, Poaceae. The transcript is spliced from 6 exons. The record is from RefSeq and is a predicted model, not a curated record.